RNAcentral lists this ribosomal RNA (380 nucleotides) under uncultured Microbacterium sp. RNAcentral describes it as "bacterial SSU rRNA". It matches the Rfam family "Bacterial small subunit ribosomal RNA", at positions 1014 to 1393 of the family's 1533-position model. Lineage: Bacteria; Bacillati; Actinomycetota; Actinomycetes; Micrococcales; Microbacteriaceae. The record is from RNAcentral.
ACUCUUUGGACACUCGUAAACAGGUGGUGCAUGGUUGUCGUCAGCACGUGUCGUCAGAUGUUCGGUUAAGUCCCGCUACGAGCGCAACCCUCGUUCUAUGUUGCCAGCACGUAAUGGUGGGAACUCAUGGGAUACUGCCGGGGUCAACUCGGAGGAAGGUGGGGAUGACGUCAAAUCAUCAUGCCCCUUAUGUCUUGGGCUUCACGCAUGCUACAAUGGCCCGUACAAAGGGCUGCAAUACCGUGAGGUGGAGCGAAUCCCAAAAAGCCGGUCCCAGUUCGGAUUGAGGUCUGCAACUCGACCUCAUGAAGUCGGAGUCGCUAGUAAUCGCAGAUCAGCAACGCUGCGGUGAAUACGUUCCCGGGUCUUGUACACACCGC